UAAUGCAAUGACAACGGAAACCAGACCGGGGUCCUUCGAAGUAGCAAAAGGGUAACUGACUGGCAUGCCACCCAGAUCCCCGUUCCCGAGCUUAUCCUGCCACAGAGAUACCCACACGCCCAUGUUUUCUGUUGUUCUGUUCACAAUUGCAUGGGAAUGGAGCCACCCUAUCUGUCCCUCAGCUGGUGCCUGGAUAAGGAAAGCAUGGCAUAUAUGCACACGGGAUGCUAUUCAGUUGUCAAGAAAACUGAAGCUGUGGAAUUUACAGAAAUAAUUGCUGUAACAGAAAAGGAUCGUAUUGAGUAAGGCUAAUGAAAAAAAUUUAAAGAAGAGAGAACGUCAGCUUAAGACUGGGAAUCCCAUCUCGGAGCCCAGACCCAUUACUUACCAGCCCUGUGGCCCUAAGACAUUUCCCACCCUGAACCCCAGCUUUAUUGGUAAUAAUCCAACCUCGUUGUCAUUAUGACUAAUAAAGUCCUCAGUAUAUCUAUAUUUCUUAAA
Rattus rattus (black rat) is the source of this 501-nucleotide long non-coding RNA. RefSeq lists it as uncharacterized. Lineage: Eukaryota; Metazoa; Chordata; Mammalia; Rodentia; Muridae. The record is from RefSeq and is a predicted model, not a curated record. The transcript is spliced from 2 exons.